GGAUCAAAUUGUUGGUCGUGCUUCGGUACGCACUGGCAUUAUUGGUUCCUACCUUCUGAAGAACCGCGAUGUCAUUAAUUUGGUGUCGUGGGGAAUCAGGACUGUUACUUUGGAAAAAAAUUAGAGUGUUUAAAGCAGGCGUACGCUUGAAUACAUUAGCAUGGAAUAAUGAAAUAGGACGUUUGAUUCUAUUUUGUUGGUUUCUAGGAUCGACGUAAUGAU
This 222-nucleotide ribosomal RNA is filed under the name uncultured Glomeromycotina. RNAcentral's name for it is "partial 18S ribosomal RNA". The stretch from base 38 to 222 matches the Rfam family "Eukaryotic small subunit ribosomal RNA", at positions 685 to 869 of the family's 1831-position model. Lineage: Eukaryota; Fungi; Glomeromycota. The record is from RNAcentral.